AACGCACAUUGCGCCUUCGGGUAUUCCUGGAGGCAUGCCUGUUCGAGCGUCGUUAAAGACCAUAAGGCUUUGCCUUGCGAUGAGCUUCUGGCAGUCUUUUCUUCUCUCUGAGAAAAAAGAAGCCAGUUGCUUUAAACUGAUUGGCGUCUGAAGUUAAGCCCAAGCACAGCAAAAUGUGUUUUUGAGCCCAUACGAUAAAGGAUUGCCCGUACACAAAAAUCAUUAUUGGUCGACCUCGGAUCAGGCAAGAUUACCCGCUGAACUUAA
Molecule: unclassified non-coding RNA, 267 nt
Filed under: uncultured Ascomycota
Lineage: Eukaryota; Fungi; Ascomycota
Description: sequence contains ITS2
Source: RNAcentral